RNAcentral lists this ribosomal RNA (254 nucleotides) under uncultured bacterium. Its description in RNAcentral is "partial 16S ribosomal RNA". It matches the Rfam family "Bacterial small subunit ribosomal RNA", at positions 524 to 776 of the family's 1533-position model. The record is from RNAcentral.
UACAGAGGGGGCAAGCGUUAUUCGGAAUUAUUGGGCGUAAAGGGCUCGUAGGCGGCCAACUAAGUCAGACGUGAAAUCCCUCGGCUUAACCGGGGAACUGCGUCUGAUACUGGAUGGCUUGAGUUUGGGAGAGGGAUGCGGAAUUCCAGGUGUAGCGGUGAAAUGCGUAGAUAUCUGGAGGAACACCGGUGGCGAAGGCGGCAUCCUGGACCAACACUGACGCUGAGUGAGCGAAAGCCAGGGGAGCAAACGGG